UGAGGAAUCUUGCGCAAUGGGGGAAACCCUGACGCAGCAACGCCGCGUGAGUGAGGAAGGUCUUCGGAUCGUAAAGCUCUGUCAGUUGGAAAGAAAUGUCUGAGAGUCAAUCCCUUUCAGGCUUGACGGUACCGACAGAGGAAGCACCGGCUAACUCCGUGCCAGCAGCCGCGGUAAUACGGGGGGUGCAAGCGUUGUUCGGAAUUAUUGGGCGUAAAGAGCGUGUAGGCGGCCGGAUAUGUCAGAUGUGAAAGCCCCGGGCUUAACCCGGGAAGUGCAUUUGAAACUGUCCGGCUCGAGUAGGGGAGAGGGAAGUGGAAUCCCUGGUGUAGAGGUGAAAUUCGUAGAUAUCAGGAGGAACACCGGUGGCGAAGGCGACUUCCUGGCCCUAUACUGACGCUGAGACGCGAGAGCGUGGGUAGCAAACAG
Molecule: ribosomal RNA, 429 nt
Filed under: uncultured bacterium
Lineage: Bacteria
Description: bacterial SSU rRNA
Rfam family: Bacterial small subunit ribosomal RNA
Source: RNAcentral